GAUGAACGCUGGCGGCGUGCUUAACACAUGCAAGUCGAACGGAGUUUAUACGGAAAGUGUCUUCGGACACCGGAAGUAUAAACUUAGUGGCGGACGGGUGAGUAACGCGUGGGUAACCUGCCUUAUACAAGGGGAUAACAGAGGGAAACUUCUGCUAAUACCGUAUAAAAAUAUUUCACGCAUGUGAGAUAUUUGAAAGAUUUAUCAGUAUAAGAUGGACCCGCGUCUGAUUAGGUAGUUGGUGAGGUAGAGGCUCACCAAGCCGACGAUCGGUAGCCGAUCUGAGAGGAUGACCGGCCACAUUGGGACUGAGACACGGCCCAAACUCCUACGGGAGGCAGCAGUGGGGAAUAUUGGACAAUGGGGGCAACCCUGAUCCAGCGACGCCGCGUGAGUGAAGAAGUAUUUCGGUAUGUAAAGCUCUAUCGAUAACGGAAGAAGAUGACAAGCCGUUAAGGAAGAAGCCCCGGCUAACUACGUGCCAGCAGCCGCCGUAACAC
Molecule: ribosomal RNA, 500 nt
Filed under: uncultured bacterium
Lineage: Bacteria
Description: bacterial SSU rRNA
Rfam family: Bacterial small subunit ribosomal RNA
Source: RNAcentral